RNAcentral lists this long non-coding RNA (16331 nucleotides) under Triticum aestivum (bread wheat). RNAcentral describes it as "long non-coding RNA (TAES_LNC000812)". Lineage: Eukaryota; Viridiplantae; Streptophyta; Magnoliopsida; Poales; Poaceae. The record is from RNAcentral.
UUUUUUUUUCUAAAAUCUUCCAACAAUUUAUGAAGUGCGAGCCCUUUUUGAAAAUUUCGAAUACUUUUAAAAAACCAACAAUUUUGAAAAAGCGAACAUUUAUUGAAACCUGAACAAUAUUUUAAAGUGUGAACACUUUUUGAAACAUAAUUUUUUGUCAACCUGAACAAAAUUUUAAUGUGCGAACACUUUUUUAAACAUGAAACAUUCAAGAAACCUGACCAAAAUUUUAAAGUGCGGACACUUUUUGAAACACAAAAAUUUCCUAAAACCUGAAAAUAUUUUGUGACAUCUAAAAAAUAUCACAAUUUUAAAAAAAUGUACGGGCCGAUUCAAACAAAUGUUUAUAUAAUGUAUAAUAAUAUUUGUGUGACUCAGAAAAUUGUUUCAUACAUUCAAAAAAUGUAACAUUUCAAGAAUUUUCACAAUUUCAAAAAAUGUGUGUACAAUUUAUUUGGAAAAAUAUUAUCAUGUACAAUAAAGUUUUGAAAACAUGUAAUUUAAAAUGUUCAUAAUAUAUUUGAAAAUAAAAAAAGUUUAUCAAAAAUAUUUAGUGUAUGCUUUAAAGAUGCAUAUUGGGUACUGAGAAAAAUUAGACAUGUCUAGAAAGAAAAAAGAUAAGAAAAUGAAAAAGAAAAAAAACAAAGAAAAAACAAAGCAGCGCGUGAGAGCGAGUGUGCUAAUAAGCCGGCCCAAUUAGGCAAAUACCGGCUAGGUCGUCUCAAGGUUCAAAAUAGACCGGAAUUAUGGUGUUUGUUGUGCUGAGUACAGGGAGUGAUAGUUCAGGGUUUGAUUUAAUUUUCACCUACAAAUUGAAGGUUUGUUUCGAACUUUUUCAAUUAGCAUGUAGUGCAGUCUAGGAUGUCCGGUGAAGCUUCAGCUGUACGCGCGGAGGACGCGAGAUGCCGGGCUGCCGUGCAAUGUAGCGAGCGCGAUAAGAUGCCCACUGUGCCGUGUGAUACGGCGAUGCCGUGAGAGUCGAGAAGACAGGACAAUGCUGGGGCGUGGUGGAUUGGAUCAGGUUGAGUCGGAUGACACAGCAAGGCAAGUCGUUUGGUUUGUUGGAGUAUCUGCAUGCGCAGAGUUGUUAGCUACAUGCAUGGAGUUAAUUUGUUAGUAGUAGACGGUCAAGUUAGUGGCCGAGCCGACCUGGUGUGAUUCUAGGAAAUGAUGGGCGUGUGCUAAUAGUAGUGGGUGCGUCUGCAUGGGAUGUGGACCAGGCCGUUGGCUCAGCGGUGUAUAAAUAUACCUUGCAUUUGGUAAGAAUGAGAGAGGCCGUGAGGGCUGUAGCCAAAAUGUAGCCAUGGUGGUGUGCCUUCAUGUGUAUACGUUUGUGUGAGUUUGAGUUUCUCCAGUGUGUGUGUUCAUGAGAAGAAGAGUAAGUUGUGAGAGGCAACACCGAGGAAGAAGAAGCGGCGCCAACAGCCCCGGCCAGCUCCACGCCCGGCCUCCUCGAGCUGGAGGUUGGUGGAGGCGUAAAGGUGGCCGCACGGCCUUACUCUUGCGCCGGGGUGGGGUGCUCGGCUUGUGUUUGAUUACUGUUCCACGUUCUGUGGGUGUAGGUGAUGGUGGAUGACCAGCCCGUGGAAUUCCUUUUGGGGAUUGGAGUGUUAUGUCCGCGGUUGGUGAGCGAUCUCGCGACCCUGGGCGUGAGCUUGAGGUGUUCGAUUGAUCGCUGACCAGAGCACACACACCUUUCAGCCAUUUUUGGUUCUCAGUAUUUUGUUACAGGUGAGAGAUGGUUGGGGGCGUGCAUGUGAAUAGACCGGUGAACGGCGCCAAUGGCAUGAAGGAGCGGCUGGACGAGCUGCGUCGGCUGCUGGGCAAGUCUUACGCUGAAGAUCGUCAGCGUCGGCGCUGGCGCAUGGGGCUGCGUCUUUACUUCUCUCUCUCUCUUUUUUUUGAGGACCAUGGUUACAAGAUUAAGCCAUGGUGUUAACACACUCUGCUCUCAUUACAUGUUUUGCGUCCGCUGGGACGUCAGCGAUCAUGAAGAAAUCGCCCGAACCUCUUGCAAGAGCGGCAAGCUCAUGUGCUAGUUUAUUCUUGCUCCGGUUGAUGAUGUUGAUCUCCGCUCGUACAAAGGCACCCAGCAUCUUUCCUGCAUCCGUUAGUAUGGCGUGGCAUGCUGACUUGCCCUUCGGCCCAGUUUGUAGCUCCCGCCCAACAAAAGUGCAGUCGGUCUCCAGGAUCAGUUCCCCAGUAUAUAGUUUCGCGAAUUCUGUUUGUCCCAAAAGGGCAGCAGCACCCUCCGCUUCUUCCACAGAGCUACAACGGUCCAGGCUCCGACCAAUGGACAUGAUCACUCUCGCUUUCUCAUCCCUUGCUACAGCGCCGCCCCAUGUUUCACCUGUUUCUCCUAGGAAAGCUGCAUCAGUAUUUAGCUUCGCCUUGCCCACAGGGGGGGUAACCCAGUGCCCUGGUGAUGGAGGGUGUGGCACUGUAGGUUUAACAGGGCUUAGCGACAGUUUUCUUUUUCCUGCCUCCUCCACCGGAUCACAUGCAGCAGCCAGCAGAUCAUCAUGCAGCCUAAUGAGGUACUGCACAGAUCCCGCUACUGUAUCUUUCCCAUCGCCAUGUACCACGUUAUUCCUCAGAUUCCAUGCCUGCCACAGAAUAAGCAUGAUUUUGUCUCUGAUUGACUUGGGGUUGGAUAAGAGCAGAAUUUGCUGGGGCUGCGUCUUUACUGCUCGCCUGUAGGACGCCUACGGCCAUUUCAGGGAUGUUAGAAGGGAGAGAGGAAUUUGGUGGAAUAGUUCAUUGUAUUGCUUAAGCCUCAUGGGCAUAUAUAUAGGAGUACAUAAUCAUCUUGGAGUACAAGGCAAGGUAGAAUAAUAUCCUACGCUAUCCUUGCUUUCCUAAUCAUCACGAUACUCAACAUCCCCCCGCAGUCACAACGGUAGCGACGCAGACGGUGAGACCGGAGAUGAAUCCGAAGGGAAGCCGACGGACACCCCUCCACAGUCGUAACGGUCAAUGCAUCGCGGAAGUCGUGGCUGGAGUGGAAACCGACAAGGUUGCUCAAGCAAGGCGGUAGCCCUUUGUGUCGUUUGUCGAUAUAGCCGAGAGCAUAGGGUGGUGUACCCGUGGUCGAGGUAGCCGUGCGAGAGACGCCGUGGUCGAUGUCGAGUUGGGGGUUGUCGGUGUCGAGGUAGUCGCCGUGUAGCCGCGGAAGAAGAGCAGCGACAGCGGCGGAGGAGGAGGCGGCGGCUAGAGAAGGAGCACAGCGGCGGUGCUCGAAGUAGGCGAUAAUAAACCCGACAGCAUGACAAAGACCGAAGCGGACGGUGACGGUCCCGCGCCAAGGAAGGCGGCGCGGCGCAUAUUACGUGAAAGUCGACGCGCUUGGACGGCGGUGGACCGCGGGCCGACGCUACGGCCCGGAGGGGCGACGCAGCGGCGGCGGGCAGGUCAGGGCGACGGCGGGGAAGACCUCAGAGCGGUUGCAGGAAUCGCGUGCCACGCUCGCUACGGCCCGGCGAGGCGACGCAGCAGCAGCGCGAGGGUCGGUGCAGCCUCGGGGACGGCCUGGAGCGGACGGCCUCGGUGCAGCGGUUGACCGCGGGCCGCGGCACUACGCCUCGUAGGGGCGACGCAGCGACAUCACGCGAGGUGGUGCAACCACGAGGAGGAACAUGGGGCGGCGGCGCUGCGGCCUGAAGGGGCAACGCAACGACAGCCCGUUGCUCGAUCGGUGGCGGCGUUCAUAAUCGAUGAUAAUCUUCAUAGACCUGUGAAGCUGCGCGCAGAGGGCUGAUUAAAGCGAAAACACAUCAAGCAAGGUCGAGAAGACGCGGACGAACGACAAGGCGCGCAGGGAUGCAGGCAGUGGUGCAGCCGACGGAACCAGCCUUGUGCACGGAUGCAUGCAUGCACCCAAGCAUACCCGCACGUGAUGCAGCCCACAUGCAAGUAGCAAGACUUGCACAGGUUGCAUGAUUCACAACCGGUGUAGAUCGACAUGGCCUGAUGAGCAGCCGCGAGCGGCCGGCUACACCACGCCCGCAUGCGGGACGACGUGCGCAACCGGCCACCGCAAUAGCACACGCGUUGUACGCGCGAACCUAGGGCGCCGGCAACAUAUCCGGGUGAAGGCGGGAGUUGUUGUCGAGGUCGGAAUAGAGACGCGUUGUAGAUGACGAACGACGGCGGGCGAUGCAAACUGAUCUUAGAUCGGAAAAACAAAAAGGAAACAGCCAAUUGAGGUGGCCGGUGAAAGAGAGAAAACCCCGGAUCAAGAGAUCGUAAAAAAGACUCUCCAAAGCAGCCGGUCAACACGACCGGCGGACGAACCCUAGGUACGGCGGGGCGGUCCCCGGCAGCGGUUAUGGAGGCCGACCGCCCUGGGGGCGGCGCGCGGAGCGGAAGCGACGGGCGGCUGUUAGGGUUUGAAUCGGUUAGGCUGAUACCAUGUUAGAAGAGAGAGAAGAAUUUGGUAGAAUAGUUCAACAAGGAAGAAGGUGCAGAUACGGGUCCACCAGCGAGCAUCUGUUCGACCUGAUCAACUCGAGGGAGGACGCACAGAGGCGCCUGAUCCAACGGUGGCGGUGCACCUACCUUAAGAAGUACGUCCAUGCGCGGCUGGGAGACCAAGACUUUUUACCGAUGAGAUUCUGAGGGAUAGGUUCUGUUUUGAACACGGAGGCCAUGCCACUGCCGGUUGAAGGUGGUCACCAACCUGUAGGAAGCUGCUUGGCUUGCUGACAUUGUGGUCAAUGGGCUGCCUUCCACCGAGGUUUAGCUCAGCACUCAGCAAGUAUUGCAAGUGUGAUCAUUUCUCUUGCAACGGGGAUACAAGUCCUUGGAGGCUGGGACCCAACUAGAAGCAAAAGCGCGCUUUGCCGCACCGUUUUCUUCUUGCCAUUGUGCAUUUAGUUUUUCUUUCGCAUUAUAUUUGUUUUUAGGAUUCUCAUUAUAUUUUAUUAAUAAUGUCAUCUUGCUACUUAAUAGGCCAAUAAAUUAAAAUAAAAUCCACGGUAAUUUAUUAUCUACAAUCUUGUUCUGUUGUCACAAACCAAAAUUUAUUUCAUACAUAGUAGAAGAGUUAACAUAAGAACUUGGAAAAACUAGUGUAGCAAGAUCCAACCUACAGGUGAAUGUUUCAGAUAUUUCAGGAGAUAGCAGAGCAGAACAUACACUCUUUUUAAAUUCUUCUCCCCUAAUUGUUUCUGAUUGGCAUGUAGACUUCAGAACCACUAACCAGUUUGCCUAAGCUUUUGAAUACAGCAACCCAACAUGCUGCAGGUAUUCGCCUGAAAAAUCUAAUAAUAUAUUUUUUUGAAACGGAGGCAAAGAUUGCCUCAUCUAUUAAAUAAGCAGAAGAGAAUUGCCCAGUUAAUAACGGAAAACCGGGCAAAAACCGGAACAACAAGGACCAAGCCCACUCCCAUAGACUGAAACACACAGGGCAAAGCCCACCCUUAUCGACAACAUGCCGACCUGCGGCCAGACAACGCAACUCCGACUCUGACGGAGAACUCAGAAGAACGAAACCAGGCACGGCUGGCGCCACGGAAGAUCGCCGAAAGGGCCACCUGCAGCCAGUCAUCGUACACCACAGGGCCCCGCCGCCGCAGCUUCGACUCCACAGCAACAAACAAACUGAGGCAAUACCGUGGACACGCCAGAGAAGAGCCGACUACCGCAACCAUUGCCGCGUCGCCGACAUCGCUCCCGCCAUCAUUGUUGCCACAGAAGUCUGGCCGCCAUAGUGAUUCUCUCGGGGCCGCCGCCCCGACAUCCACCGCUCCCUCGCGCCCAGUGCAAUCAACCGGCACCGCCUUCCGGGGCCGCCGCCCCGACAUACCACCACUCCCCUCGAGCAGCAACGCCGCACAACCCAGCUGCCCGCAGCCCACGCUGCUCAGGGCAACCGCUCGCAGACCACGAACGUCGCACCACAUCCGGGGCCGCCGCCCCGACGUAAAGUCAGAUCGCCCCCUCUGGGGCGCAUCGACCAGGCCGACAACCUCGCUACCCACGCAGCACCAAGCCGCCACCAAAACAAUGCACAACGGCGACUCUGCCCCAUAGAGCCACCGUUGCAUCGCUAUCCGAGGCCGCCGCCUCGGCGUACAUCCACCGUCCAGAGCCGCCGCCCCGGCCUCCAUCACCCCAAUGACGACGCAACUCUGCACCACUGCCAGGAGACCACAACUCCACAAAAGGUCAUUGCUUCCAAGGCGCUGCCUCCAAGAAGGUAACGACAUAAUUGCCGCCGCCGCCCGCUCCAAUGGAGCUUGGGUUUUCACCCGGAAACACCAGACAGUUGCAGCAGUAGAUGGACGUAGCUCCGCGAUGUGCCUUUAGGAAGGAAUGCAAUGCUCAAGAACAUCGCCAACAUCGGCACCGACCGGAGAAGGUGCAAGACUUUCGCCCGGAGAAUCUACUCCACCGCCGAGCCUCACGAGGAAGCCAACGACAUAGGAACGCAGCAAGUUGCUGUUGGAAAUAUGCCCUAGAGGCAAUAAUAAAAUGGUUAUUAUUGUAUUUCCUUGUUCAUGAUAAUUGUCUGUUGUUCAUGCUAUAAUUGUAUUAACUGGAAACCGUAAUACAUGUGUCAAUACAUAGACCAUAAUAUGUCCCUAGUGAGCCUCUAGUUGACUAGCUCGUUGAUCAACAGAUAGUCAUGGUUUCCUGACUAUGGACAUUGGAUAUCAUUGAUAACGGGAUCACAUCAUUAGGAGAAUGAUGUGAUGGACAAGACCCAAUCCUAAGCAUAGCACAAGAUCGUGUAGUUCGUUUGCUAGAGCUUUUCUAAUGUCAAGUAUCAUUUCCUUAGACCAUGAGAUUGUGCAACUCUCGGAUACCGUAGGAAUGCUUUGGGUGUACCAAACGUCACAACGUAACUGGGUGGCUAUAAAGGUGCACUACAGGUAUCUCCGAAAGUGUCUGUUGGGUUGGCACGAAUCGAGACUGGGAUUUGUCACUCCGUAUGACGGAGAGGUAUCUCUGGGCCCACUCGGUAAUGCAUCAUCAUAAUGAGCUCAAUGUGACUAAGGAGUUAGCCACGGGAUCAUGCGUUACGGUACAAGUAAAGUGACUUGCCAGUAACGAGAUUGAACAAGGUAUUGGGAUACCGACGAUCGAAUCUCGGGCAAGUAAUGUACCGAUUGACAAAGGGAAUUGUAUACGGGAUUGAUUGAAUCCUCGACAUCGUGGUUCAUCCGAUGAGAUCAUCGUGGAGCAUGUGGGAGCCAACAUGGCUAUCCAGAUCCCGCUGUUGGUUAUUGACCGGAGAAAUGUCUCGGUCAUGUCUACAUGUCUCCCGAACCCGUAGGGUCUACACACUUAAGGUUCGGUGACGCUAGAGUUGUAGAGAUAUUAGUAUGCGGUUAACCGAAAGUUGUUCGGAGACCCGGAUGAGAUCCCGGACGUCACGAGGAGUUCCGGAAUGGUCCGGAGGUAAAGAUUUAUAUAUGGGAAGUCCUAUUUUGGCCACCAAAAAAUGUUCGGGAUUUUUCGGUAUUGUACCGGGAAGGUUCUAGAAGGUUCCGAAGUGGGGCCCACCUGCAUGGGGGGCCCACAUGAACGUGGGUAGUGGGGGCAAGGCCCCACACCCCUGGUCAAGGCGCACCAAGAUCCCACCUUAGAAGGAAUAAGAUCAUAUCCCGAAGGGAUAAGAUCAGGAUCCCUAAAAAAGGGGGGUAACAAUCGGUGGGGAAGNNNNNNNNNNNNNNNNNNNNNNNNNNNNNNNNNNNNNNNNNNNNNNNNNNNNNNNNNNNNNNNNNNNNNNNNNNNNNNNNNNNNNNNNNNNNNNNNNNNNNNNNNNNNNNNNNNNNNNNNNNNNNNNNNNNNNNNNNNNNNNNNNNNNNNNNNNNNNNNNNNNNNNNNNNNNNNNNNNNNNCGCCCCAAUGGACUUGGAGGGCAAGAAACCAGCCCCUCCACCCCUAUAUAUAGUGGGGAGGCGCAUGGGAGCAACACCCCAAGCCCUGGCGCCUCCCUCUCCCUCCCGUGACACAUCUCCCUUCUCCCGCAGCGCUUGGCGAAGCCCUGUUGGAAUCCCGCUACUUCCACCACCACGCCGUCGUGCUGCUGGAUCUCCAUCAACCUCUCCUUCCCCCUUGCUGGAUCAAGAAGGAGGAGACGUCUUCCCAACCGUAUGUGUGUUGAACACGGAGGUGCCGUCCGUUCGGCGCUAGGAUCAUCGGAGAUUUGGAUCACAACGAGUACGACUCCAUCAACCCCGUUCUCUUGAACGCUUCCGCUCGCGAUCUACAAGGGUAUGUAGAUGCACUCCUCCCCUCUCGUUGCUAGCAUCUCCUAAAUUGAUCUUGGUGACACGUAGGAAAAUUUUGAAUUUCUGCUACGUUCCCCAACAGUUGCGCAGAGUGCGUCGUUGCCAACCACCAGCCCUCAACACGCCGCAGCAAAAUGCCUUGCCAGAUCUGCGCACCCCCGGCCACCUCCAUCCCAAACUGCUGCUCCAUUGCACACACGGCCAGAGCAGUAGAAGAGCACACCACUCCGGUGGCCAGAGACCGAUCCCCACGACCACCGUCGCAGCGCCGCCGCCCAAAAACUGCGGCUCACCGCCACCGCCACAGCUCACCAUCAGAAGAAACCUCCACCGUCGCGGCACCGCCGCGCCGCCAUCCAAAAGCUGCGGCUCGCCGCCAUCAUCGCAGCUCCCCCGGUCGAGGGAGGGAACCCCAGGCACCCAGCGCGCCAUACAUCCAUAGCCCACCGGAGCGUCGCCGUCGCAACACGCCGGAGCACCUCCACCGACAGAUCUGGGCGCCGGGCGCCAGAUCGACGACGGCCGGCCACAGCGCCGCCACGCACACCAUCCAGCCGAGGAAGGGGGGAGCAGCGCUGCCACCAUGCCCGGGGCCGCCGCCCCGGCUUGCUCGCGCCGACGAGACGCGGCCGUCGCCAGAUGCGGGCCUCCGACCGAGGCCGAAGCCACGUGGCGCGCGACGAGGGCCCCCCGCUGCCGCCGUCCGCCUAGCGGGCUUCGCCCGUCAGCNNNNNNNNNNNNNNNNNNNNNNNNNNNNNNNNNNNNNNNNNNNNNNNNNNNNNNNNNNNNNNNNNNNNNNNNNNNNNNNNNNNNNNNNNNNNNNNNNNNNNNNNNNNNNNNNNNNNNNNNNNNNNNNNNNNNNNNNNNNNNNNNNNNNNNNNNNNNNNNNNNNNNNNNNNNNNNNNNNNNNNNNNNNNNNNNNNNNNNNNNNNNNNNNNNNNNNNNNNNNNNNNNNNNNNNNNNNNNNNNNNNNNNNNNNNNNNNNNNNNNNNNNNNNNNNNNNNNNNNNNNNNNNNNNNNNNNNNNNNNNNNNNNNNNNNNGCUCUCAACACAAAAAAAAAUCAACAUAUCUGCAAAUGCAGUUCAUACUACCCACCAACUAUUUACACAAAGGGCUUUAUAUAUUGAUAGAGAAAUUCUUGCGGUGGUUCACGCAAUUAACGCUUUUAGAUUAUACUUAGGGUUUAAGGAAUUUAUAGUGCAAACAGUCUGUGAAGCAAUAUGUAGAUAUUAUAAUCAGAUUAAUAGUAACAAAAGUUCGACUAAAAUAUGGUUAUUAUUCGAAGAUACUAUAGCAGGGAAUGGUUAUAAAGUAAUAUUUGAACAUAUCAAAGGGAGGAUAAUAGUUUACCUUACAUAUUCUCUCGCUCAUCAAUUUUGCUGAAAUUAAGAAAGGAUUUCUUCAUGGAGGAUAUGAAGCUUACAUGUUUGGAGAAGAAAAUAAGCCCAAAAUAUUUGCACCAGGAACAUUCAACUUCAUGCCCAAAAGUCAUAUCAAUAUUAAUGACAUCCAGAGGUGCAUACUAGAUAAUUUCUGGUAUCAUUACACCAAUAAAAGGGAAGAUAAAGGGUACAUGCUGGCAAAUCUUAACAACCUAUCUGAAUACUUCAAUUUAUUGAACAAAGGCACCCUCAAAGCAGCACAAAAGAAAGUGCAAAAAGAAGACAUGCUAUAUAUAAUAUUUGAUGGAAGUAAACCAGGAAUAUAUAUGAGCUUUGAAGAUGUUUUAAAAGAGAAAUUUGAUGCAAGGUGAAAGAAUGGAGACUUAUCAUGGAAAAGACAUGAUGAUUACAAUGAGUCCCUAAAAUGGGCAAUAAGCUUAAUAGGGAAAAUUUAUUAUAUAGACCCAAAAGCUAAAGAAUAUAUGAGAAGUCAGAGAGGCAUAAGUAGCAUUAUGACCACUCCAUCUUUUCCUAAAUAUACAAAGGGAGAAGCAUCAAGCUCCCAGAAGGUUAAAGAAGAUGAUUCCCCUAAAUAUGAGACUUUUCUCAUGUAUAAUAGUAACAAUAUCUUGAUAGGGGAAAAAUGUAAUGCCUUCCUCAUGUAUAAUAGUGGUCUGGAGAGAAUGUUGUAAAAAUCUUAAUCCUAAUAUCAUGUCAUCCUUUAUUACAGAUAAAUCUCUUAUUGUCAUUUCAUCUGUUAUAUAUUUUGUACCAUUAAUAUAUGUUUCUACGUUAUAUGCUAACGGGUUGUGAAUUUUAUUUAUGACUGACAUAUUCUAGAUACCUCUCCUUUAUUAUCAUCUAAAGUUUUACCAAUUUCAAGACACUUAACGAAAUAUUUGUCAUUAUUAUAUUCCUAGUUUAUAAGUUUUAUUUUUUCUUCCCAGUGAUUUAAUUCAUCUUCUAAAUCUGCCUUUUUCCAUACAUUGUUUUAGACAUUUAUUCUUACUAUCACUACUCUCUGUUUUUGACAUGAAAGAUUAUAUAUCGUCUAAGGCUGUGAAUUAUAGUUCAUGAACCUAAUGCUGCUACUUCCUUCGCUAUUUUGAGAGCUCAUAUAAUUUUCUAGUUGCUUCAACUCUUUCUUCUCUAUUAGUUCGCUUACAUCCCAUUCUGUCCUGCUCUCUCUUCAGCGCCAAUUUUAAGAGGGCUCAUAAAUUUUAUGACUUUACAUUGCAUGCUUUCUAUUACAUCAUUUACGUCUACUUUGUAUCUAGAGUUGCUUUUAUUAGUGAGUCUUCCUAUGAAUCCAAUGCUUACUAACAAAUAUCUUCCUUUAAAAUGGUCAAUUCCUUUGGUUUGGAAACAAAGCUCAUUUUUUUCAAUAAAUUCUUUUACAGGCAUCAUUAAGUUUGGACCUAUAUCUGUUCUUAAUCUAUUUUUAUUCAUAUCUCCUUCCAUAAAGCCUAAGGAUGCUUUUUCUACCGACUCACAUCUUUUAUCUUGUAAUGUCAUUAGUACCUUCGUUCCUAAUUUCAAUCUUGUCAUUUCUUUUACUCAAAUAAUAUACAUGCCUUGGUGAAUAUAUUUAUAACCCGAAUAUUUGAGUUCAUUCUCAAUAUUUUUGCUAACAAUUCUUAAAUCGGCUGGAUAUGUUAUGACACUUAAUUCUGUUUCUCUAGAUAUUCUAUAUAAUCUUCUGUUACUUUCAAAUAUACCCAUGUGAUGUACCUGUUGCGGUCUUAUUUUUCUUAACAUGUCUCUCUGGUAUCUUUCUAAUUCGCGUUCCAUGUCUAUAACAUCUUCUAAAUUAUCUAUGUCGUCACCCUUGCAUGAUCUCCUAUUUAUCAUGGUUAGCAAUCUUGAAUCAUGCCUUAUUAACUGGAUGGUCUUGUCUCUUCGAGCGAGGCUUUUAGAUAGUUCCAUUUUUCGGAAUUGAUACUUUUAGACGAUGAGACUAUUCCGGAUGAAGAUAAUACCAACUAGUUAUUACCUCAUUUAGUAUUAAGCUUCUUCAAAAUCUGGACUAGCAGCUGCAGAUUCGUGUUAUUCUCCCUUAUAAUUAUUCUGGAGUCUUCUUUUGGUGAAUCGUGAUAUGAAAAUCCAACAGGAGGUGCUAAGUACUUUUCUACUUCUUUUUGUGCUUGGCUAUAUUCACUCAUGCAAAUUAUGAUAUGACCAAAGUCUUUAUUUCUUGUACUAGCGUUUUAACUUCAAAUAUAUUGUGUCUUAUUUCAGCACCUCAUAAUGAAUCUAUACUUUUAUUUAGGACACCACUUAGAUUCUUUCGUAUGGAUAAAACCUCUUCUUUAAUAUAAUCGUUAUUUUACAAGCUAUAAGAUUUCUUCCUUUUGAUUCUUCUAAUUUCUGUAGAACUAGAUCAAUUUUAUUAUUCAAACCUUUUUUAUUUUUCUACUAAUUUGGAUGUUCUCUUAGCAGACUUUCAAUUUUUUUGUCUAAGUUAUCUUACCUUUUUCCCUAAGAUAUAUAAAAGUUAUGAAUGAGGUCAACAAUUAAAUUUAGUUGGCUAUGAGAAGUAUGCCACGUAUGUUCUUCCGAAGGUAUUCUGCACAAUAUGAUAAUAUUUUAUUUAGUUGAAAUUAUUCUACCUGAACUAACUUUAAAAUUCAAAUACUUUAGUCAUUCAAUGAUUAAACACUAGUUGAGAUACCAACACACAAAUAUGUAAAUUUCAAAAUUAUUAAAUAUCCAGAAUACGAGACUAUUUAGUAUGAAAACUUAGUUAGCUAAAUUUUUUGAAAUUAUUUAAUACUACAAUUUAUUUAAUUAAUGGAUUCAUAAUUAACUUAAUUUACUAAUUAUUAUAUUUUAUAUGUUUAUGCAGGAUAUUUUACGGUUUGGCGAAACCAACGAGACAGCAUACGGGUAUGCAGCGGUCGUGUUAAUCCUACAUGGUACUCUCUGUAUUUAUCACUGUGUUGCUUCAGAAGCAGCUACGUUCUUUCACUUGAUGUAUAUAUUGCGAAUUUAUGCGAUAAAUUCCUACCGCCUUCCCAGGUAAUUCCACCCGAAGGGAACACUUCCAUAAGCCUAUAAGGUUCUCAACAAACGCCACACAGGCUAAAUAGAGAACUACCAGCAGAGUUUUUUCCUAUAGGAUCUCUUACAUACGUAAGAACUCAUCUCAUAAAUUCAUAAUAGGAGGACCAAGUUAAACACAAAACUACUUCAUUUCGACAACAUAAUUUACAUACGGAUUUCCCUUCCGGGAGACGCCGAAGGGAUUACAAAGAGAAAACAGGACUACCUUCUGCCUACCUCCACCACGGGGAGAUUCAAUGCCUCAAAGGCUUUAUUACAACUGGAGCUAGCUACUAAUACUACGGCUACUGAGGAGUGUGAGGGUUGUGACGCUAGAAUGUUGCAAUGCUCUGGAGUCUGGUGUUAUGUGUUUCUUUCGCAGCGCUCAGUCCUCCCCCUUUUAUAGCGCACGAGGGGCACCUUGUGGUCAGUGACUUUAUUCCUCUCUAGCUGGUGUACUACAGCAUGCCUUGGAACAACUUCUACGUCUUGCAUGUUCCUUUGUGUGAGCUGAUGAAACAGCCCCCUAUUUUAUGUGCCUUGUAGUUUGCACAGUCAAGCAUCUAUGUUUGCAUAGCCAUGCAUGAUUCCAAUGCAUGACUUUGUCUUGACAAAUGGUUUUGUCCAGACUCAAAUCUUUGUCCUGACAGAUGAUUUUGUCCAGACUAAAAUCUUUGUCUUGACAGAUGAUUUUGUCUAGACUGAAAACCUUGUCUUGACAGAUGAUCUUGUCCAGACUGAAGCUCUUGUCUCCAUUGGAGCUCUUUCCAUGAUAUUUAAUUCCAACUCUUGCAUGCACCGUUGUAUGAGUCAUCCAUGCAUUGUUGAAUAUAUUAGUCUUCCUGCAUGACCCAAUAUUUUAACUUGGAUGAACAGUCUUGUCUUGCAUAAUUAUUCUUGCAGUAUGAAUAAUUAUAUAUAUCCCCAGUUCUUGUUCAUCCUACGGCGUGCAUGCAUUGAUACCCAUCUUUUGAUUAUCCCAUAUCCUAGCACUCAAAGCAUACAAUUAUGAGUUUACAUGUCCAAUGCUAGACACAACUCAGGCCCAUCAAAUAAGCAACAUGUUAAGUUUACACACCAUCCAAAAGGAAAAGUAAUACCAAGUAGUGUUGAUACAGUUACUACAAAGUCAAGCUGAAACCAAGAACAAACUGUGCAAUGUUGAUAAAACAGAGCAUCCAUAUGGGAAAACGCAAUUCAAAAUUACAUGUUGCAUAGUGCAGACACACAUUUCUUCGCCGUGCUACAAAAGUAAACCAUCAACAGAAAGAGAAAUAAAUCAAGCAAUUAAUAUUUAUAUUGCUAAAUGCACCGAUAGGAGCCAACUAUUUUCAAAUAAUACAAGGCGAGGAACUGAAAAAUUGCAACAUCCCUACACUGCUCGUAUCAAACAUAUGAAUUCCAUCAACUGUACAAGCCUGCGCGGAAGGUAAUUCAAUGCAAAAAUUGUAACCACCCCACCAUGCUAAAGGGCAUGAGCAUGCUUUGUGUUGUGUGAUACUAAUUCAUACCCAUGCAUAGCCCAGUUAGUUAAAGACAAUCAACAUACCUAAUUUCCGACAGAAUGCCAGAUGUCAAACCUAUAACAAAACAAUAUAGAACAAAACAUACCUAAUCAACAUACCCAUGCAUAGCCCACUUCACAAAUAAGACAAAGGCAAAAUAUUCUAGAUAUUUUCAUCAAUUUAUCCUCAAGCUGCUUCAUCUCCUCGCGACCUCCAAUUGCUCUUGCAACAUCGAGCGAGUGGGAUGUGGAGGAGGUGGAGGGUUGGCAGUGGGCUUGCAGCAGAGGAACGAUGAUGUCCAUCACGACGUGGCAGCCGUCAGUGGAGAUGGCGCCGCUCCUCCUGUCGUUGCCUUGGUGAAGGAGGUGGGGGCCGUCCAGUCGCCACGCGCAAUGGAGAGGAACAUGGGAUGGGGUAGGCGGAGGGCAGCAGCGGCAUGAGAGAGGCGGGGAUGAGGGCUACGGGAAGAGGAGGAGGUCGGCCGUGCAGGAGACCGAGUAGGGGCUGAAAAUCGGAGGGAGCGAGUACGACAGGAGAGACGGUUAGGUUUUCUACCGUGGGCGUUGUGGACGACUGAGAUCAUUUUAGGCAGCAAAGGACGGCCCAAAUUCGGAUGCCUUGGGAGACUAGUCAAAAUCGAUCCACCACGGUAAUCGAUUGGGCUGAAUCGAAGCUGAGCGUUUCCACCCCGGAGCUUAGUGAUAUAGUAGAUUCCUCGUGUCAUCAGUUCAUCACACACACAAAGGAUCCGUCCCGUAGGUAAGCAUGUAUCUUGCUAUGUGCUUUCCCUCGGAGAUAUUCUCAUCUAUAUCGAAGUGUGCAACCGUUUGGUAAGGACAGGGCCGGUCCCGAGAUUUUGGGGGCCCGGGGCGAAAGUAAAAUUUGAGGCCCCUUAAUAUAAAUAUCAUAGCAAUGAUAAAUAAUAUUUGCAUCUAAAAAAUGUUAUUAAUAAUUACUUAAAUGCAUCCAAAAUCCUAUAUAUAUAUAUAUAUAUUAUAUAUUAUAUAUAUAUAUAUAUAUAAAUAUAAAAUUCAUCUCUAAAAGAAGAAGAAAAACCACAGCUAUCCUUAGCCUGUACAUGCGGCUCCAUCCUAUAAUAAGAAUUAGCGUCUGAUUCAAAAAAAAGGGAUUACGUGCAGUUCUGAUAUUUUAAAAAAUAUAACGUGACCUAACGUGUAUGCAUGGGAGUAGAACUUUCUUCGUAAGAAAAUGGCGGAUGCUACAAAUCAUCCGACCGCCUAGCCAGCCGUCGGAUGAACAUGCUGGUGGCCGUUCGAUGCGGCAACGCCACAGCAGCAGACCAGCUCCAACUCAGCGCUACUGGCUCUCCGGCAAAGCUCCACUUCAGCACUGUGCGGCGUGUCUAUAGCUCCAACGCAUCCUGACAGCGUUCGGCGGAGCUCCAACGCAGUAUCGAUGGAGUCCGGUGAAGCUCCAUUGCAACUCCGGCGGAGCUCCAAGGUGGCACCGCGGACUCCGGCGAAGCUUCAUUGCAACUCCGGCGGAGCUCCAACGCAGCAUCGACGGAGUCCGGCGAAGCUCCAUUGUAGUGUCGUCUAUGCUUCCGCCGGAGUUGAGGGAGAUGCCCCGACGCACCGUUCCGACGAGCCGCACGACUACCCUUAGAGUAGCAGUGGUGUUGUUGCAAAAAAGCAGCAGCAUCAAACGUGCUCACCGCAGCCCCCUCACUGUCAGCACCGGUGGCGUUGCAACGCAGCACCGCCGGUGGCGACGGCCGGAGUUGAGGAAGAUGCUCGUCACGUGCGUACCUUACAGCCGUGCUUGCCAGAGAUGCUCUCCGCCCGACCUUGCUGCAACCGCACUGUAGCGUUCCCGGUGUCGACCUUCCCCUGCUUGCAUCAAUGGCGGCUGCGGGCCAUGCGUGAAUGCCGCAGUAGUGUGGCUGCUUUGCAACAGGGGCGGUGUUGGUGCAGAGUAGCAUUAUAAGGCCGCGGGCGGUGGCCACUUCCGGUUCCCAGCUUUGGUGGUUGCUGGCCAGGGGAUCGAUGGCCUCUUUCUAGCAGUGUUGCCUGAGGAUGAAACGGGGAAAAGAAGAAAACGUGUGGAGAAGGGGAAGAUACAUAGCGAGAAGAUAAGGCUGGGUCCGCUGGGAUGGAGCGGUGGCGGCCCCGCAGGGGACACGUGGUGCGCAUAGGACGCGG